Molecule: ribosomal RNA, 472 nt
Filed under: Leisingera methylohalidivorans
Lineage: Bacteria; Pseudomonadati; Pseudomonadota; Alphaproteobacteria; Rhodobacterales; Roseobacteraceae
Description: bacterial SSU rRNA
Rfam family: Bacterial small subunit ribosomal RNA
Source: RNAcentral
AGAGUUUGAUCCUGGCUCAGAACGAACGCUGGCGGCAGGCCUAACACAUGCAAGUCGAGCGCUCUCUUCGGAGGGAGCGGCGGACGGGUUAGUAACGCGUGGGAACGUGCCCUUCUCUAAGGAAUAGCCACUGGAAACGGUGAGUAAUACCUUAUACGCCCUUCGGGGGAAAGAUUUAUCGGAGAAGGAUCGGCCCGCGUUAGAUUAGAUAGUUGGUGGGGUAACGGCCUACCAAGUCUACGAUCUAUAGCUGGUUUUAGAGGAUGAUCAGCAACACUGGGACUGAGACACGGCCCAGACUCCUACGGGAGGCAGCAGUGGGGAAUCUUGGACAAUGGGCGCAAGCCUGAUCCAGCCAUGCCGCGUGAGUGAUGAAGGCCUUAGGGUCGUAAAGCUCUUUCGCCAGAGAUGAUAAUGACAGUAUCUGGUAAAGAAACCCCGGCUAACUCCGUGCCAGCAGCCGCGGUAAUAC